This 638-nucleotide long non-coding RNA is filed under the name Numida meleagris (helmeted guineafowl). Its description in RNAcentral is "lncRNA (ENSNMEG00000001168.1)". The record is from RNAcentral. Lineage: Eukaryota; Metazoa; Chordata; Aves; Galliformes; Numididae.
GUGUCCCUACGUGUGUCCCAUGUGCCCCACGUGUCCCUACGCAUGUCCCACGUGCCCCACGUGUCCCUACGUGUGUCCCAUCCGCCCCACGUGUCCCUACACGUGUCCCAUGUGCCCCACGUGUCCCUACACGUGUCCCAUGUGCCCCACGUGUCCCUACGCGUGUCCCACGUGUCACUAGGCGUGUCCCAUGUGCCCCACAUGUCCCUACACGUGUUCCAUGCGCCCCACGUAUCCCUUAGCGUGUCCCACGUGUCCCUACGCGUGUCCCAUGCACCCCACGUGUCCCUAGGCGUGUCCCACGUGUCCCUAGGCGUGUCCCAUGUGCCCCACAUGUCCCUAAGCGUGUCCCAUGCGCCCCACGUGUCCCUUAGCAUGUCCCACGUGCCCCACGUGUCCCUAUGCAUGUCCCACGUGUCCCUAUGCAUGUCCCACAUGUCCCUAGGCGCAUCCCACAUGCCCCUAGGCGCAUCCCACAUGCCCCUAGGCGCAUCCCAUGUGUCCCUAGGCGCGUCCCACGUGCCCCUUAGCGUGUCCCACGUGCCCCUACGCGUGUCCCGCGUGUGGCACGCACCAGGUGGAGGCGGUAGGUGCGCUCGUACUUCAUGUACUUGAGGCAGUACUCGCAGAUCCAGAGC